GAAAAGAAAAUGUAUCAAACUUGUAAACUCUGAUGUAAUAGUGAGAUUGUAAUUUGGAAGUAAAAAUGUAAACGAAAACUGUGAUGUAAAAAGUGGUUGUAAAAUGAAUGCUUGUAAUAGCAAGUAGAUUAUGUAUUUAAUACUUCCUUAUGCAAUCUGGAUUGAUAUCCGUUCCUUGUUGGAACAUUCGUUGAUUGUUUGGAUUGCGAUGCCUUGGACGUACUGGGGAGACUCUGUCUGCGUACAGGGGAAUUCCCGGU
Molecule: long non-coding RNA, 260 nt
Filed under: Ananas comosus (pineapple)
Lineage: Eukaryota; Viridiplantae; Streptophyta; Magnoliopsida; Poales; Bromeliaceae
Description: long non-coding RNA (ACOM_LNC044070)
Source: RNAcentral